Molecule: long non-coding RNA, 1261 nt
Filed under: Erythranthe guttata (spotted monkey flower)
Lineage: Eukaryota; Viridiplantae; Streptophyta; Magnoliopsida; Lamiales; Phrymaceae
Description: long non-coding RNA (EGUT_LNC003343)
Source: RNAcentral
AUUCCUGAAACAUCAGCCUCCUUUCUCUCUCUACUUUCCCCAUUUGGGAUUUUGUGUAAGAUUUUCUCUCUCUUUUCUUAUUACAACUUUUGCAACUUAUAUAUAUAUACAUAUACAUCUAUAUAUAUAUAUAUAUAUAUAUAUAUAUAUUUUAUUUUAUUUUGGAAUAAAAUGUGCAAAAAUCUUCCAUCCGAUUGCUGAAUAAAUUUAGAUGAGCAACGCGGCCAUCUUUUGCACAGAUUAAAUAAUAUUAAGGCUUAAUUAAUUAAUUUAUUUAGCCAUUAAUUUGCUGUUUCUAAGAAGUUGGUGUUGGUUUUCACUCCACUUUAAUUUCUUUGAUUUUGCAGCAUACAUUAUUUCUUUUUAUUUAUUCUUUCAUGAACUUUUGAUUGAUUAUCUAUUUUAUUUUUUUGUUUGAAGUUUUAAUAAGUAAUUUUUUGUAUUUUGAUAUGACGAGACAAAAAAUUUAAGUGCCAUAAAAUAUUGAGUACCUCUGUAAAUUUAUUUUUAUUUACAAAUGUACAGCUGUAUAUAAUAAGUGCAGAGCAAUUUACGAAAUAUAGAUAAAUUAAAUAAGGGCAUGUAAUUAAAAUUCAUGAAAGACCAAAUAAAAUGACAAGCAGACACAAAUUAAUCUCACACAGACACAUUUUAUUAUUAUAUAUAGACACAUACAAAAGAGAUAAGUUCCACUGAGACGAGUUGGACUGUCGGAUUAUAUUGUCAUAAGUUUUUAAAACAAAAUUGAAACACGUGAAUUAAAUUCACAAUGUGUUUUUAACUUUUCUUAAUUUCUAAACUAAAUCUUAGUUAGUGGGCUUAGUAGGGCUAAGUAGUGCUUAGUGGAUUUAAUUAUGGGAUUUAUCUUAACUUCCUAACUAACCCACUAACCCAUUAUCUUGAGUGCUCUUGUGGUUGGUUUUCUUGCAGAUCAUGGGCUGAAGAGUGGAAGCUUGGCAAGUCUAUAAAUACCAAACUCAAGACUCAAGAUUAAUACAGAUUUCGAGAAAACAAAAUAGAGAGCUGAAGUUUUAAUCUCGAGAAUUUUAGUGUGUUUUCUAGGAUCUGUUGUACGUACUAUUUAUAAGUACCUUCUUUGAAAUCUAGAAUUUUUGAUAUCUUUCUUUUAGUAUCUAGAUUUGGUUGUAAGAGUGAUCUUGAAAAAGAUUCACUCAUAAGGAAGAAGUUUUCGCACUCUUCUGUUUGUAUUCUUGGAAUACUGAUUUUAAUAUAUUUUCCGUCCUGUAAAGGGCAAGUUCAC